Molecule: ribosomal RNA, 372 nt
Filed under: uncultured prokaryote
Description: bacterial SSU rRNA
Rfam family: Bacterial small subunit ribosomal RNA
Source: RNAcentral
UACGUAGGGUCCAAGCGUUAAUCGGAAUUACUGGGCGUAAAGCGUCCGCAGGUGGCUUGAUAAGAUAGACGUGAAAUCCCUGGGCUCAACCUAGGAAUUGCGUUUAUGACUGUCUCGCUAGAGUAUGGGAGAGGGGGGUGGAAUUCCACGUGUAGCAGUGAAAUGCGUAGAGAUGUGGAGGAACACCGAUGGCGAAGGCAACCCCCUGGCCUAAUACUGACACUCAUGGACGAAAGCGUGGGGAGCAAACAGGAUUAGAUACCCUGGUAGUCCACGCCCUAAACGAUGUCUACUAGUUGUUGGGCUUUUCGGAGCUUAGUAACGCAGCUAACGCGUGAAGUAGACCGCCUGGGGAGUACGGUCGCAAGACUA